GAUGAAGAACGUAGCGAAAUGCGAUAAGUAGUGUGAAUUGCAGAAUUCAGUGAAUCAUCGAACCUUUGAACGCACAUUGCGCCCCUCGGUAUUCCGUGGGGCAUGCGUGUUCGAGCGUCAUUUACCCCUCAAGCACUGCUUGGUGUUGGGCGUCUGUCCCGCUUCGCGCGCGGACUCGCCCCAAAGGUAUUGGCAGCGGUCGUGCCAGCUUCUCGCGCAGCACAUUGCGCUUCUCGAGGCGGUCGAUCGGCGUCCACGAAGCUCACCUCCACCGUUUGACCUCGGAUCAGGUAGGGAUACCCGCUGAACUUAAGCAUAUCAAUAAGCGGAGGA
RNAcentral lists this unclassified non-coding RNA (333 nucleotides) under soil metagenome. RNAcentral describes it as "partial contains 5.8S ribosomal RNA, internal transcribed spacer 2, and large subunit ribosomal RNA". The stretch from base 1 to 120 matches the Rfam family "5.8S ribosomal RNA", at positions 35 to 154 of the family's 154-position model. The record is from RNAcentral.